AUAGUAGUCCCUCCGUCCGAAAAUAUUUGUCAUCAAAAUGAAUAAAAAAAUGUAUAUAAAUGUAUUUUAGUUAUAAAUACAUCUUUUUUGUCCAUUUUGAUCACAAGUAUUUUCGGGCGGAGGGAGUAGUAC
Triticum aestivum (bread wheat) is the source of this 132-nucleotide non-coding RNA. NCBI's taxonomy places the organism in Eukaryota, Viridiplantae, Streptophyta, Magnoliopsida, Poales, Poaceae. The record is from Rfam.